RNAcentral lists this ribosomal RNA (240 nucleotides) under uncultured bacterium. RNAcentral describes it as "partial 16S ribosomal RNA". It matches the Rfam family "Bacterial small subunit ribosomal RNA", at positions 118 to 351 of the family's 1533-position model. The record is from RNAcentral.
UGAGCAACCUGCCCUCGGCACCGGAAUAGCCCGGGGAAACUCGGAUUAAUGCCGGAUAGCCCCACAGCCCGCAGGGGCGGUGGGAAAAGGUAGCUUCGGCCUCUGGCCGAGGAUGGGUCCGCGGCGGAUUAGCUAGUUGGUGGGGUAACGGCCCACCAAGGCGACGAUCCGUAGCUGGUCUGAGAGGACGAACAGCCACACUGGGACUGAGACACGGCCCAGACCUCCUACGGGAGGCAG